GACGAACGCUGGCGGCGUGCUUAACACAUGCAAGUCGAACGGAAAGGCCCUGCUUUUGUGGGGUGCUCGAGUGGCGAACGGGUGCGUAACACGUGAGUAACCUGCCCUUGACUUUGGGAUAACUUCAGGAAACUAGGGCUAAUACCGGAUAGGAGCUCCUGCUGCAUGGUGGGGGUUGGAACGUUUCGGCGGUUGGGGAUGGACUCGCGGCUUAUCAGCUUGUUGGUGGGGUAGUGGCUUACCAAGGCUUUGACGGGUAGCCGGCCUGAGAGGGUGACCGGCCACAUUGGGACUGAGAUACGGCCCAGACUCCUCCGGGAGGCAGCAGUGGGGAAUAUUGCACAGUGGGCGGAAGCCUUAUGCAGCAACGCCGCGUGCGGGAUGACGGCCUUCGGGUUGUAAACCGCUUUCGCCUGUGACGAAGCGUGAGUGACGGUAAUGGGUAAAGAAGCACCGGCUAACUACGUG
RNAcentral lists this ribosomal RNA (468 nucleotides) under uncultured bacterium. RNAcentral's name for it is "partial 16S ribosomal RNA". It matches the Rfam family "Bacterial small subunit ribosomal RNA", at positions 28 to 507 of the family's 1533-position model. The record is from RNAcentral.